RNAcentral lists this unclassified non-coding RNA (240 nucleotides) under soil metagenome. Its description in RNAcentral is "partial contains 5.8S ribosomal RNA, internal transcribed spacer 2, and large subunit ribosomal RNA". The record is from RNAcentral.
AACAUCGCGCACCUGCGGGAACCUGCGGAAGGAUCAUUACUGAGUCACGUGCUCAAACAACCCUUCUGUGGACCUGAAAUAAAACCGUUGCCUCGGCGGGCGGUCCCCCCCAAACCAACCCCACGUGGUGGGUUAGGGGAGACCAGACAGUCCGGUACGCUUAAGGCGUCCGGCGCCAGCCGCUGGCCCCAAACAAUUAAACUCUAGUAAUCUUUACCUUCUGAAUUUCAAUAUUUAAAA